RNAcentral lists this ribosomal RNA (253 nucleotides) under uncultured bacterium. Its description in RNAcentral is "partial 16S ribosomal RNA". It matches the Rfam family "Bacterial small subunit ribosomal RNA", at positions 524 to 776 of the family's 1533-position model. The record is from RNAcentral.
UACGUAGGGUGCAAGCGUUAAUCGGAAUUACUGGGCGUAAAGCCUGCGCAGGCGGCUUUGCAAGACAGAUGUGAAAUCCCCGGGCUCAACCUGGGAACUGCAUUUGUGACUGCAAGGCUAGAGUACGGCAGAGGGGGAUGGAAUUCCGCGUGUAGCAGUGAAAUGCGUAGAUAUGCGGAGGAACACCAAUGGCGAAGGCAAUCCCCUGGGCCUGUACUGACGCUCAUGCACGAAAGCGUGGGGAGCAAACAGG